ACUAACAGGUCCACCCGAAGUCCCACAACUCAACCACAUUAUGAGAAUCACCACUGGUUAUAGAUGCAUGACCAACUAUCUUUGCAUCUAAGUUUAGGAACAUACCUCACAUCGUGUAAAGAAACUCACGAUUGUCAAACUUCGUAAGACAAACUGAACCCAUACCUUGAAACUUCAAGCUUUCCCGUUUUCAAGAUGAGCAACUCCACCUUCAACUAACUCUAGAGUCUCAAAGUAUUCAUUCUUUGAACACAUGUGAUAGGAGCAUCAAAAGUCCAUGACUCAACACUCCACUGAAUCUCAACUUCCACUAGAACCUCCACAUAAUAAAGUUGUUGUUUCAGAAGUAACCCGAGUAUUAUUACCACCGCCUCUCCAGG
RNAcentral lists this long non-coding RNA (380 nucleotides) under Trifolium pratense (red clover). RNAcentral's name for it is "long non-coding RNA (TPRA_LNC011393)". Lineage: Eukaryota; Viridiplantae; Streptophyta; Magnoliopsida; Fabales; Fabaceae. The record is from RNAcentral.